AGUGAACGCUGGCGGCAGGCCUAAUACAUGCAAGUCGAGCGCGAAAAGGGCAACCUGAGUAGAGCGGCGCACGGGUGCGUAACACGUGGGUAAUCUGCCCUUGAGUCGGGAAUAACCUUCCGAAAGGUUGGCUAAUACCCGGUAAGCUUACGGUGACUUCGGUCGCUGUGAGAAAAGUAGGCCACUGUUUACAAGCUUACACUUGAGGAUGAGCCCGCGGCCCAUCAGCUAGUUGGCGGGGUAACGGCCCACCAAGGCUACGACGGGUAGCUGGUCUGAGAGGACGAUCAGCCACACUGGAACUGAGACACGGUCCAGACUCCUACGGGAGGCAGCAGUGGGGAAUUUUCCACAAUGGGCGAAAGCCUGAUGGAGCAACGCCGCGUGUGUGAUGAAGGUCUUCGGAUUGUAAAGCACUUUCGACUGGGACGAAAUACCGGCGCUAACAUCGCCGGGACGUGACGGUACCAGGAGAAGAAGCACCGGCGUAACUCUGUGCCAGCAG
This 505-nucleotide ribosomal RNA is filed under the name uncultured bacterium. RNAcentral's name for it is "partial 16S ribosomal RNA". It matches the Rfam family "Bacterial small subunit ribosomal RNA", at positions 29 to 514 of the family's 1533-position model. The record is from RNAcentral.